This 21-nucleotide non-coding RNA is filed under the name Arabidopsis thaliana (thale cress). The record is from RNAcentral. Lineage: Eukaryota; Viridiplantae; Streptophyta; Magnoliopsida; Brassicales; Brassicaceae.
CACUACCCUUUUCAAUUCUAC